UACAGAGGUCCCAAGCGUUGUUCGGAUUCACUGGGCGUAAAGGGUGCGUAGGUGGUCGGGUAAGUCUGAUGUGAAAGCCCCCGGCUCAACCGGGGAACGGCGCGGGAAACUAGCAGGCUUGAGUUCGGGAGAGGGAAGCGGAAUUCCGGGUGUAGCGGUGAAAUGCGCAGAUAUCCGGAGGAACACCGGUGGCGAAGGCGGCUUCCUGGACCGACACUGACGCUGAGGCGCGAAAGCGUGGGGAGCGAACAGG
RNAcentral lists this ribosomal RNA (253 nucleotides) under uncultured bacterium. Its description in RNAcentral is "partial 16S ribosomal RNA". It matches the Rfam family "Bacterial small subunit ribosomal RNA", at positions 524 to 776 of the family's 1533-position model. The record is from RNAcentral.